AGCUUUGUGCAGUGGUAGUAUUGUAGCCAGUGAGGUUUAUCUGAGGCACGAUUAUUGCUAAACCUGUAAAAUUGUUCAUUCAGGUUGUCGGCAUGGCCUCAUGACCUACUUAUUUCACUUAUAAUCUCCCGCCAUCCAGUUACAUUUCUGAAUGAUUUUGCCAGUGAUCCUUCAGAAAA
Molecule: small nuclear RNA, 179 nt
Filed under: Octodon degus (degu)
Lineage: Eukaryota; Metazoa; Chordata; Mammalia; Rodentia; Octodontidae
Description: U4 spliceosomal RNA (ENSODEG00000025685.1)
Rfam family: U4 spliceosomal RNA (bases 1-62)
Source: RNAcentral